ACUCCUACGGGGAGGCAGCAGUAGGGAAUCUUCCGCAAUGGGCGCAAGCCUGAUGGAGCAACACCGCGUGAGUGAAGAAGGGUUUCGGCUCGUAAAGCUCUGUUGUUAAAGAAGAACACGUAUGAGAGUAACUGUUCAUACGUUGACGGUAUUUAACCAGAAAGUCACGGCUAACUACGUGCCAGCAGCCGCGGUAAUACGUAGGUGGCAAGCGUUAUCCGGAUUUAUUGGGCGUAAAGAGAGUGCAGGCGGUUUUCUAAGUCUGAUGUGAAAGCCUUCGGCUUAACCGGAGAAGUGCAUCGGAAACUGGAUAACUUGAGUGCAGAAGAGGGUAGUGGAACUCCAUGUGUAGCGGUGGAAUGCGUAGAUAUAUGGAAGAACACCAGUGGCGAAGGCGGCUACCUGGUCUGCAACUGACGCUGAGACUCGAAAGCAUGGGUAGCGAACAGGAUUAGAUACCCUGGUAGGAUAGCG
RNAcentral lists this ribosomal RNA (474 nucleotides) under uncultured bacterium. RNAcentral describes it as "bacterial SSU rRNA". It matches the Rfam family "Bacterial small subunit ribosomal RNA", at positions 335 to 801 of the family's 1533-position model. The record is from RNAcentral.